This 467-nucleotide ribosomal RNA is filed under the name uncultured bacterium. RNAcentral describes it as "partial 16S ribosomal RNA". It matches the Rfam family "Bacterial small subunit ribosomal RNA", at positions 28 to 507 of the family's 1533-position model. The record is from RNAcentral.
GACGAACGCUGGCGGCGUGCUUAACACAUGCAAGUCGAACGGAAAGGCCCUUGCUUGCAGGGGUACUCGAGUGGCGAACGGGUGAGUAACACGUGGGUGAUCUGCUGCGCACUUCGGGAUAAGCCUGGGACACUGGCUCUAAUACCGGAUAGGCCAGUGUUUUGGUUGUGAUUGUGGAGAGUUUUUUCUGUAUGGGAUGAGCUCGGGGUCUAACAGCUUGUUGGGGGGGAAAUGGUCUACCAACGGGGCGCCGGGUCGCCGGCCUGGGGGGGGGGACGGGCACAUUGGGACUGAGGUACGGCCCAGACUCCUACGGGGGGCAACAGGGGGGAAUAUUGCACAAUGGGGGCGAGCCUGAUGCAGCGGAGCCGGGUGGGGGAAGACGGCCUUUGGGUUGUAAACUCCCUUCGCUUAGGAAGGAACGUUAUGUGACGGUACCUAGAGAAGAAGCACCGGCUAACUACGUG